AGCGAACGCUGGCGGCAGGCUUAACACAUGCAAGUCGAACGCCCCGCAAGGGGAGUGGCAGACGGGUGAGGAACACGUGGGAACGUACCCUUCGGUUCGGAAUAACUCAGGGAAACUUGUGCUAAUACCGGAUACGUCCGAAAGGAGAAAGAUUUAUCGCCGAAGGAUCGGCCCGCGUCUGAUUAGCUUGUUGGUGAGGUAACGGCUCACCAAGGCGACGAUCAGUAGCUGGUCUGAGAGGAUGAUCAGCCACACUGGGACUGGGACACGGCCCAGACUCCGACGGGAGGCGGCAGUGGGGAAUAUUGGACAAUGGGGGCAACCCUGAUCCAGCCAUGCCGCGUGAGUGAUGAAGGCCUUAGGGUUGUAAAGCUCUUUUGUCCGGGAAGAUAAUGACGGUACCGGAAGAAUAAGCCCCGGCUAACUUCGUGCCAGCAGCCGCAGUAA
RNAcentral lists this ribosomal RNA (447 nucleotides) under uncultured bacterium. RNAcentral's name for it is "partial 16S ribosomal RNA". It matches the Rfam family "Bacterial small subunit ribosomal RNA", at positions 29 to 523 of the family's 1533-position model. The record is from RNAcentral.